This 667-nucleotide long non-coding RNA is filed under the name Homo sapiens (human). Its description in RNAcentral is "HSALNT0152074". The record is from RNAcentral. Lineage: Eukaryota; Metazoa; Chordata; Mammalia; Primates; Hominidae.
UCCCAGGUGCUAGGAGAGACUCUCCCUGGAAGUGCGGGGCAUGUGAUGGGCUAUUCACCCACCUGGACACCUGGGGCGAAGGUGUCAAACUUGUGGGGCACCCGGUGGGCUCCACUCACCUGUAAUUCACCUCUAAUUCCCCUGUGGUGAGAACAUAAAACAGAGUGCAAUGUACUUGUGAAACCAUCCUGAGAUCUUGCACUUGGAAGACCUGGACAGCUGCCAUUGCCCAGACGAUGCAGAAAGACUUGGACAGGAACAUCUGCCUGAGACCCAGGCAGGGGGAGAAGGUGGGUGUCAGGAAACAUCCCAACGCCAGUAUUCGGGAUGCCGGGAGAGAACAGGGGGCACACAUCCAAUGUUGUAUUUCAACAAGUCACAGGACUUUUGAGUCAGCUCUGAACUGGUUUGACCACAGAGAAAGGAUGACUCUUAUGCCUAGAAGAAAAAGAACACAAGCAUGAAGUCAUGUUUUGGGCUGAGAGGAAUCAAAUAUCUUCUUGGAAGGGACCAGCCGCGUUUGGUGGAAAUGAGUUCUGCAGUGCACUGAAAACCCAGAGCCUUCCAGUGACAGACCCCAGACAAGAACAAACACUUCCAAAGGCACCCUCCAGACGGGCCCACCAUACCCAAUUGCUUCAAGGAGGCCUCUGUUCAUUAAAAUAAA